CAAAGAGGGGGACCUUCGGGCCUCUCGCGUCAGGAUAUGCCUAGGUGGGAUUAGCUAGUUGGUGAGGUAAGGGCUCACCAAGGCGACGAUCCCUAGCUGGUCUGAGAGGAUGAUCAGCCACACUGGAACUGAGACACGGUCCAGACUCCUACGGGAGGCAGCAGUGGGGAAUAUUGCACAAUGGGCGCAAGCCUGAUGCAGCCAUGCCGCGUGUGUGAAGAAGGCCUUCGGGUUGUAAAGCACUUUCAGUCGUGAGGAAGGUGGUAGUGUUAAUAGCACUAUCAUUUGACGUUAGCGACAGAAGAAGCACCGGCUAACUCCGUGCCAGCAGCCGCGGUAAUACGGAGGGUGCGAGCGUUAAUCGGAAUUACUGGGCGUAAAGCGCAUGCAGGUGGUUUGUUAAGUCAGAUGUGAAAGCCCGGGGCUCAACCUCGGAAUUGCAUUUGAAACUGGCAGACUAGAGUACUGUAGAGGGGGGUAGAAUUUCAGGUGUAG
Molecule: ribosomal RNA, 495 nt
Filed under: Vibrio parahaemolyticus
Lineage: Bacteria; Pseudomonadati; Pseudomonadota; Gammaproteobacteria; Vibrionales; Vibrionaceae
Description: bacterial SSU rRNA
Rfam family: Bacterial small subunit ribosomal RNA
Source: RNAcentral